RNAcentral lists this long non-coding RNA (317 nucleotides) under Pongo abelii (Sumatran orangutan). RNAcentral's name for it is "lincRNA". Lineage: Eukaryota; Metazoa; Chordata; Mammalia; Primates; Hominidae. The record is from RNAcentral.
CUGAUCCAUAUGAAUUUCUCUUAUUAAGAAAAAUAAAGCAUCCAGGAUUCAAUGAAGAACUGUCUAUCACCUUGCUAAUCAUUCAGAAACAUGUUGCAGGCUUAAGCCAUUUUCGAUAUAGAUAUUGAAACAAUUACUUGCUAAGAGCAAACUUGAAGGUAUGGAUAAGGCCCUGAGUCAUCUUCCUGAACUGAAUGAUAGUUAAGCUGAAUUAACAAUUUGGACAAGACAGCAAGUGCUAUUGUCCAAGUUUUCUAAAGAAGAAUCUGAAGUGAAAUGACAUCAAGAGACCUAUCAAGACCUGUAUCCAGGAAAAG